AAAUAUGCAUGACAAGACCACAGCACCGCAAGACAGCCUCAUGGUCUCAGAACAAGAGCAGAUAUUUCUCUGUCUUCUGUAGUGUAAGAAGUUAAUGCAUGAAGAGAAUGAGCAGACUAGAGGAAGCGAAGGGCCGAAUCACAGUGGUGGUGAAGGUUUAAAUGGUGGAUCUACUCUGAGAUGAAGAUUCAUAAAUACACAGUCAUCGUCAUCAUCUUUAGCCUUUUCUGUCCUAUCACAGGUGUUACUGUCACCGAGAGGUCUGUGCAGGAGGGCGAGACGUUCAUCUUCCAUCUGCCGAAUAUAGAGUCUGGCAGAUCAGUCGAAUGGAAACAGAUGAAUAAACUGCUGGCCAUCAUUAGCCUGGACAACAACACAGUAAUAUUUCAGCAGGGACGCAGACAUCAGUUCAUGCAGAAUGGGUCAGUCGUCAUCAGAGAUGUCAAACAGGAAGACACCGGCAACUACACUUACAAUAUCAUAUUCAAAGACAAAAAAAUUCAAAGCCACAUCCUCUCACUUACCCUGUACUCAGAAACUACAGAACAGAGCCCUACUUAUAACUCCACAUUCAUUACAUCAGGGUCACGGGGAGACUGGAGCCUGUCCCAGGGGAUUUGGGACACCCUGGAUGGGGUGCCAACCCAUUACAGGGCACAAUCCCGCACACAUUUACA
Long non-coding RNA from Ictalurus punctatus (channel catfish), 677 nucleotides. Lineage: Eukaryota; Metazoa; Chordata; Actinopteri; Siluriformes; Ictaluridae. The record is from Ensembl.